RNAcentral lists this ribosomal RNA (465 nucleotides) under uncultured bacterium. RNAcentral describes it as "partial 16S ribosomal RNA". It matches the Rfam family "Bacterial small subunit ribosomal RNA", at positions 28 to 507 of the family's 1533-position model. The record is from RNAcentral.
GACGAACGCUGGCGGCGUGCUUAACACAUGCAAGUCGAACGGAAAGGCUCCUGCUUGCAGGGGUACUCGAGUGGCGAACGGGUGAGUAACACGUGGGUGAUCUGCCCUGCACUUCGGGAUAAGCCUGGGAAACUGGGUCUAAUACCGGAUAGGACGAUGGUUUGGAUGCCAUUGUGGAAUGUUUUUCGGUGUGGGAUGAGCUCGCGGCCUAUCAGCUUGUUGGUGGGGUAAUGGCCUACCAAGGCGUCGACGGGUAGCCGGCCUGAGAGCGUGUACGGCCACAUUGGGACUGAGAUACGGCGCAGACUCCUACGGGAGGCAGCAGUGGGGAAUAUUGCACAAUGGGCGCAAGCCUGAUGCAGCGACGCCGCGUGGGGGAUGACGGCCUUCGGGUUGUAAACUCCUUUCGUCAGGGACGAAGCGAAAGUGACGGUACCUGGAUAAGAAGCACCGGCUAACUACGUG